RNAcentral lists this ribosomal RNA (492 nucleotides) under uncultured bacterium. RNAcentral's name for it is "partial 16S ribosomal RNA". It matches the Rfam family "Bacterial small subunit ribosomal RNA", at positions 29 to 507 of the family's 1533-position model. The record is from RNAcentral.
AGUGAACGCUGGCGGUAGGCCUAACACAUGCAAGUCGAACGGCAGCACAGUAAGAGCUUGCUCUUACGGGUGGCGAGUGGCGGACGGGUGAGGCAUACAUCGGAAUCUACUUUUUCGUGGGGGAUAACGUAGGGAAACUUACGCUAAUACCGCAUACGACCUACGGGUGAAAUCAGGGGAUCUUCGGACCUUGCGCGAUUGAAUGAGCCGAUGCCGGAUUAGCUAGUUGGCGGGGUAAAGGCCCACCAAGGCGACGAUCCGUAGCUGGUCUGAGAGGAUGAUCAGCCACACUGGAACUGAGACACGGUCCAGACUCCUACGGGAGGCAGCAGUGGGGAAUCUUGGGCAAUGGGCGCAAGCCUGAUCCAGCAAUACCGCGUGAGUGAAGAAGGCCUUCGGGUUGUAAAGCCCUUUUGUUGGGAAAGAAAAGCAGCAGGUUAAUACCCCGCUGUUCUGACGGUACCCAAAGAAUAAGCACCGGCUAACUUCGUG